This is a long non-coding RNA of Alligator mississippiensis (American alligator), 1457 nucleotides long. RefSeq lists it as uncharacterized. NCBI's taxonomy places the organism in Eukaryota, Metazoa, Chordata, Crocodylia, Alligatoridae. The transcript is spliced from 3 exons. The record is from RefSeq and is a predicted model, not a curated record.
GGGUGAGGCUAUUAGGGGUUGGAGGAGGCCUCAAGGGGAACCCACAGUGGCGUGGGGACCCCAGCGCCAGUGAGGGUGCAGUAUCCUCAUAGGGGACUCACAGCGGAGUGUGAGGACCCCAGCACCAGCGGGCACAGCACACGGGGUGUAUAGACCCCAGCCCUAGAAAGGGGCACAUUUGAGAAGCCCUAGUGUGGGUGUGGCGAGCCCCAGAGAGGGGGCUCUAUUGAGAAGACCUAGUGAAGGCGCAGCAAAACCUGGGGAGGGGGUACUAUUGGAAAGCCCAAAGUUGGGCACGGAGAGCCCCAGAGAGGGGAGUGCCUUAUUGAGAAGCCCAGGUGUGGGCAUGGAGAGCCCCAGAAAGGGGGCAACAGUACUGGAAAGCCCAAGUUGGGCAUGGCAAGCCCCGGAGAGGGGAGUGCCUUAUUGAGAAGCCCAGGUGUGGGCAUGGAGAUCCCCAGAAAGGGGGCAACAUUAUUGGAAAGCCCAAGUUGGGCAUGGCAAGCCCCGGAGAGGGGAGCGCCUUAUUGAGAAGCCCAGUGCGGGCGUGGCGAGCCCCAGGAGGGGGCACCAUUGAGAAGCCCCAGUACAGGUGCAGAGGAGACCCCGAGAGAGGGCGAGGAAAGCCCCAAGAGGGGGCAGCAGUGUAUGUAGGGAAAGAGAUAGUGACAGUCCAAUGUCCAUUCCAACUGUUAGGCUUGGGGAGUGGUAUAAGGGGUGGUUGGAGCCACGCAUAGUCCAUAAGGCUAGGGUGCUCCAAAGCACCCAUUUGCAGGACAAGACCCACGAGGGGUCCAGGAGUCUACAGGACCAGAGGGUACAACGGACCGUGUCUAAGACGACGUGAGGCAGCCUCCCAACUGAUUUAAACCAUCAAAGACGUGGCGGGAGAGAAAUAGAGGGUGCCCUUGGGCCAACUUGGCACGGAGAGGGGGCCUUAAGGAGAUCACGGCCCAACUGUAGGACCCCACCAUGACAGACGGAGACAUACUUAUAGAGGGGACAGUUCUGGAUACUAGAUGCCAAGUCCCAUUAAUACCCCUUGGUGUAGUUCGUCAUCCUCUGCAGCUUGAAUCUCAAUGGUGAAGACCCAACAAAGCCUAAGGGUGUGAAUGACUAUGUGGAGAGAUGUCUUUAAUUUGUUGCAGGUGGCAGAGAUCAUCUCCCCUUGCAUAGCAUAGGCUCGGGAAAGAAAAAAUGCUGCAGGUCUACCUCUCGGAGAUGGCUUAGGAGAGCCUGGACUCUUCAGGCAUUUUCCCUAACGUCCCUUUGGACUCCAGAGGAAUCUUGGUCUGCAGAACAUGAUGGACCCUGGCCUUUAAAACUCUUACACCACCAAAAAGCGGCACUGGAAACUUCUUCAUGAAUGCAAGCGGCCAGAGCCUGGGCUCGCAUCCUGUCCCGGAGCUGUGGAUGCUCCAGCAGCACCCUGAUUUUUUUUUUUAUUUUUUUUUUUU